This 1272-nucleotide ribosomal RNA is filed under the name Enterococcus faecium. RNAcentral's name for it is "bacterial SSU rRNA". It matches the Rfam family "Bacterial small subunit ribosomal RNA", at positions 94 to 1353 of the family's 1533-position model. The record is from RNAcentral. Lineage: Bacteria; Bacillati; Bacillota; Bacilli; Lactobacillales; Enterococcaceae.
AGUGGCGAACGGGUGAGUAACACGUGGGUAACCUGCCCAUCAGAAGGGGAUAACACUUGGAAACAGGUGCUAAUACCGUAUAACAAUCGAAACCGCAUGGUUUUGAUUUGAAAGGCGCUUUCGGGUGUCGCUGAUGGAUGGACCCGCGGUGCAUUAGCUAGUUGGUGAGGUAACGGCUCACCAAGGCCACGAUGCAUAGCCGACCUGAGAGGGUGAUCGGCCACAUUGGGACUGAGACACGGCCCAAACUCCUACGGGAGGCAGCAGUAGGGAAUCUUCGGCAAUGGACGAAAGUCUGACCGAGCAACGCCGCGUGAGUGAAGAAGGUUUUCGGAUCGUAAAACUCUGUUGUUAGAGAAGAACAAGGAUGAGAGUAACUGUUCAUCCCUUGACGGUAUCUAACCAGAAAGCCACGGCUAACUACGUGCCAGCAGCCGCGGUAAUACGUAGGUGGCAAGCGUUGUCCGGAUUUAUUGGGCGUAAAGCGAGCGCAGGCGGUUUCUUAAGUCUGAUGUGAAAGCCCCCGGCUCAACCGGGGAGGGUCAUUGGAAACUGGGAGACUUGAGUGCAGAAGAGGAGAGUGGAAUUCCAUGUGUAGCGGUGAAAUGCGUAGAUAUAUGGAGGAACACCAGUGGCGAAGGCGGCUCUCUGGUCUGUAACUGACGCUGAGGCUCGAAAGCGUGGGGAGCAAACAGGAUUAGAUACCCUGGUAGUCCACGCCGUAAACGAUGAGUGCUAAGUGUUGGAGGGUUUCCGCCCUUCAGUGCUGCAGCUAACGCAUUAAGCACUCCGCCUGGGGAGUACGACCGCAAGGUUGAAACUCAAAGGAAUUGACGGGGGCCCGCACAAGCGGUGGAGCAUGUGGUUUAAUUCGAAGCAACGCGAAGAACCUUACCAGGUCUUGACAUCCUUUGACCACUCUAGAGAUAGAGCUUCCCCUUCGGGGGCAAAGUGACAGGUGGUGCAUGGUUGUCGUCAGCUCGUGUCGUGAGAUGUUGGGUUAAGUCCCGCAACGAGCGCAACCCUUAUUGUUAGUUGCCAUCAUUCAGUUGGGCACUCUAGCAAGACUGCCGGUGACAAACCGGAGGAAGGUGGGGAUGACGUCAAAUCAUCAUGCCCCUUAUGACCUGGGCUACACACGUGCUACAAUGGGAAGUACAACGAGUUGCGAAGUCGCGAGGCUAAGCUAAUCUCUUAAAGCUUCUCUCAGUUCGGAUUGCAGGCUGCAACUCGCCUGCAUGAAGCCGGAAUCGCUAGUAAUCGCGGAUCAGC